RNAcentral lists this transfer RNA (85 nucleotides) under Didymella heteroderae. It matches the Rfam family "tRNA". Rfam says of the family: Transfer RNA (tRNA) molecules are approximately 80 nucleotides in length. Their secondary structure includes four short double-helical elements and three loops (D, anti-codon, and T loops). Lineage: Eukaryota; Fungi; Ascomycota; Dothideomycetes; Pleosporales; Didymellaceae. The record is from Rfam by way of RNAcentral.
GGCCUAAUGGCCCAAUGGCAAGGCGCUUGACUACGAUUCAAUAAUUGGCAUCAAGAGAUUCCAGGUUCGACCCCUGGUUAGGUCA